UCGACGAAUAGUACGAAUAGUCGACGAAUAGUGCAAUAGAGACUUUGCAAGGCUUUCCACCGUGCUGUAGAACUAAAUUUACCGAAGCGGGGCGGGGGGGGGGCUCUAUUGACAAACAUGAAAUUGUGAAAACAUUCGUUGAUGUCAAUGACGUCAUACGUAAUCGGUAAAAAUUACGGGACCACUGAGUUUUAACAAAUAUUUAACAGGAAGUAGAAUGACAAUCAGUGGCGCCGUGGGACCCAUGUUUUUUUUUUUGGGGGGGGGGCAAGGGCAGUACUUUUCCGACAAACCGAAAAAAUUUUCCGACAAACCAAAAAGUUUUCCGGACGACAACAUUUUAAAUCUUCACUCCCCCCCCCCGUCGACAACUUUGACAAUUUCCGAC
This is a non-coding RNA of Paramuricea clavata, 388 nucleotides long. The record is from the annotation of a GenBank genome assembly. Lineage: Eukaryota; Metazoa; Cnidaria; Anthozoa; Malacalcyonacea; Plexauridae.